CAGUCGCCGCGGUAAUACGAAGGGUGCAAGCGUUACUCGGAAUUACUGGGCGUAAAGCGUGCGUAGGUGGUGGUUUAAGUCCGUUGUGAAAGCCCUGGGCUCAACCUGGGAAUUGCAGUGGAUACUGGGUCACUAGAGUGUGGUAGAGGACAGUGGAAUUUCCGGUGUAGCAGUGAAAUGCGUAGAGAUCGGAAGGAACAUCUGUGGCGAAGGCGACUAUCUGGGCCAACACUGACACUGAGGCACGAAAGCGUGGGGAGCAAACAGGAUUAGAGACCCCCGUAGUCCCUGUCUCUUAUAC
Molecule: ribosomal RNA, 301 nt
Filed under: uncultured bacterium
Lineage: Bacteria
Description: partial 16S ribosomal RNA
Rfam family: Bacterial small subunit ribosomal RNA
Source: RNAcentral